UCUCAAGACCGGAGCUAUCAACCACUCAUCCAUCUCUCC
RNAcentral lists this transfer RNA (39 nucleotides) under Piresia sp. 'morpho B' ILCO-2017. Its description in RNAcentral is "partial tRNA-Ser". Lineage: Eukaryota; Viridiplantae; Streptophyta; Magnoliopsida; Poales; Poaceae. The record is from RNAcentral.